CACAUGCAAGUCGAACGGUAACAGGAUGUGCUUGCACAUCGCUGACGAGUGGCGGACGGGUGAGUAAUGCUUGGGAACUUGCCUUUGCGAGGGGGAUAACAGUUGGAAACGACUGCUAAUACCGCAUAAUGUCUUCGGACCAAACGGGGCUCCGGCUCCGGCGCAAAGAGAGGCCCAAGUGAGAUUAGCUAGUUGGUAAGGUAACGGCUUACCGAGGCGACGAUCUCUAGCUGUUCUGAGAGGAAGAUCAGCCACACUGGGACUGAGACACGGCCCAGACUCCUACGGGAGGCAGCAGUGGGGAAUAUUGCACAAUGGGGGAAACCCUGAUGCAGCCAUGCCGCGUGUGUGAAGAAGGCCUUCGGGUUGUAAAGCACUUUCAGUUGUGAGGAAAAGUUAGUAGUUAAUACCUGCUAGCCGUGACGNUUACAACAGAAGAAGCACCGGCUAACUCCGUGCCAGCAGCCGCGGUAAUACGGAGGGUGCGAGCGUUAAUCGGAAUUACUGGGCGUAAAGCGCACGCAGGCGGUUUGUUAAGCUAGAUGUGAAAGC
This 552-nucleotide ribosomal RNA is filed under the name uncultured bacterium. RNAcentral's name for it is "bacterial SSU rRNA". It matches the Rfam family "Bacterial small subunit ribosomal RNA", at positions 52 to 601 of the family's 1533-position model. The record is from RNAcentral.